This 146-nucleotide ribosomal RNA is filed under the name uncultured bacterium. Its description in RNAcentral is "partial 16S ribosomal RNA". It matches the Rfam family "Bacterial small subunit ribosomal RNA", at positions 362 to 525 of the family's 1533-position model. The record is from RNAcentral.
UAUUGCACAAUGGAGGAAACUCUGAUGCAGCAACGCCGCGUGGAGGAUGACGCAUUUCGGUGUGUAAACUCCUUUUAAGAGGGAAGAWUAUGACGGUACCUCUUGAAUAAGCACCGGCUAACUCCGUGCCAGCAGCCGCGGUAAUA